UACGGGGGGGAGCAAGCGUUGUUCGGAUUUACUGGGCGUAAAGGGCGCGUAGGCGGCCAGCACAAGUCAGUUGUGAAAUCUCCGAGCUUAACUCGGAAAGGUCAACUGAUACUGUGCGGCUAGAGUGCGGAAGGGGCAACUGGAAUUCUUGGUGUAGCGGUGAAAUGCGUAGAUAUCGAGAGGAACACCUGCGGCGAAGGCGGGUUGCUGGGCUGAUACUGACGCUGAGGCGCGAAAGCCAGGGGAGCGAACGGG
This 255-nucleotide ribosomal RNA is filed under the name uncultured bacterium. RNAcentral's name for it is "partial 16S ribosomal RNA". It matches the Rfam family "Bacterial small subunit ribosomal RNA", at positions 524 to 776 of the family's 1533-position model. The record is from RNAcentral.